GUUGUGGGGUUAAGCGACUAAGCGUACACGGUGGAUGCCCUGGCAGUCAGAGGCGAUGAAGGACGUGCUAAUCUGCGAUAAGCGUCGGUAAGGUGAUAUGAACCGUUAUAACCGGCGAUUUCCGAAUGGGGAAACCCAGUGUGUUUCGACACACUAUCAUUAACUGAAUCCAUAGGUUAGUGAGGCGAACCGGGGGAACUGAAACAUCUAAGUACCCCGAGGAAAAGAAAUCAACCGAGAUUCCCCCAGUAGCGGCGAGCGAACGGGGAGCAGCCCAGAGCCUGAAUCAGUGUGUGUGUUAGUGGAAGCGUCUGGAAAGGCGCGCGAUACAGGGUGACAGCCCCGUACACAAAAAUGCACAUGCUGUGAGCUCGAUGAGUAGGGCGGGACACGUGGUAUCCUGUCUGAAUAUGGGGGGACCAUCCUCCAAGGCUAAAUACUCCUGACUGACCGAUAGUGAACCAGUACCGUGAGGGAAAGGCGAAAAGAACCCCGGCGAGGGGAGUGAAAAAGAACCUGAAACCGUGUACGUACAAGCAGUGGGAGCCUCUUUAUGGGGUGACUGCGUACCUUUUGUAUAAUGGGUCAGCGACUUAUAUUCUGUAGCAAGGUUAACCGAAUAGGGGAGCCGAAGGGAAACCGAGUCUUAACUGGGCGUUAAGUUGCAGGGUAUAGAC
RNAcentral lists this ribosomal RNA (677 nucleotides) under Escherichia coli. RNAcentral's name for it is "bacterial LSU rRNA". It matches the Rfam family "Bacterial large subunit ribosomal RNA", at positions 1 to 714 of the family's 2925-position model. Lineage: Bacteria; Pseudomonadati; Pseudomonadota; Gammaproteobacteria; Enterobacterales; Enterobacteriaceae. The record is from RNAcentral.